AACAAAAGCUUCAUCAAAGGAGUUCAACCACAAUUGUCAAAAGCUUCACACACUCUUGAUCAAGACAGUGUGAAGCAAAACCAAUUUAUGGUGCCAACAAAAGUUUCAUCAAUGGAGGGCAACUACAAUUCUCAGACCUUCGAAGCAAAUUCAAUUUAUAUGGUUCAUCCAAACCUUCGACUACUACAAGGUGUGGCUUACAUCACAAUCUCUUGCUCAACAGUGUGGAAGCAAAAUUUGUAUAUGUUGUCUCUCCCAUAUUUUCAAAUUUCUAGAUUCCCAAAAAAAAAAAAAAAAAAAAAAAGGGAAAUUCCACAAAGCUUCGUCAAUGGAGGACAACUAACAAAUUCUCAAAAGCUUCACACUAUCUUGAUCAAGAUAGUGUGAAGCAAAAUCAAUUCAU
RNAcentral lists this long non-coding RNA (403 nucleotides) under Malus domestica (apple). RNAcentral describes it as "long non-coding RNA (MDOM_LNC013442)". Lineage: Eukaryota; Viridiplantae; Streptophyta; Magnoliopsida; Rosales; Rosaceae. The record is from RNAcentral.